GGCAAUAAAAGAAAAACAUUUGCCAUGAAUGUUAAAUUAAAUUUGCCAUGUAUGUGUAAGUAAAUUUGCCAUGGCAAAAUAAAAGGGAAAUUUUGCCAUGUUUUAAAAGAAGAAAAGAUUAGCCAUGCUCCCAGCAAAAAAACAUGCUGAAAAUUGCCAUGGCAAUUUUAGAGAAUGUGAACUUCGGUGAAAAUUUCAAUCAUAGAAAACAAAAACUCAUCACUAUGUACAUGGCAAAAGAAAAAUUUGUGAAUGUACCAUGGAAAAAAAGCAGACUAUAUUGCCAUAGCAAAAAAUUAAGACUAUAUUGCCAUGGCAAUUUACAGAAUAUAAGAAGAUUGACAUUUGGUGAGAGACAUGGUUAAACAAUUUAUUCUUGCUAUCAUGGCAAACUUGUUUCGCAAACCAUGGCAAAUGUAGUUCAUUUAUCAUGGCAAAAUUAUUUAUUCGACAAGGUCAAGCAAACAACAAACUAGUAAGCCACCUAGUGCUAGAGUGCUUGUUUAUGAUCACUAGGACUGGUGGCUUUAAGUAGCCGAUCACAGAACCACAAUUAGUGACCUAAUUCACAAUCCAACCAAGAACAAAACUCCAGGAAAAAAAUGGAAUUUUCACACUCAAUGCAGCAUGGGCACUCCAGGUGCAGAAGCUAGAAGCUUGUAGUUGCCAUGGCAACACAUCUUAAAAAUUAACAAAAAAGGCACAUGUACUUGUCAUGGCAACACAUCAUGGCCACAUAUGCUUUUAGUUGCCAUACAAUUUGUUGAUGAAUUAACAAAAAGAAUUACAGUGAUAGUGUAAAUCACAAAAAUCUGUUGUGCCUCUCCUGGGACAUUACAUGGCAGUUUGAGAAAAAAGAACUGAAGAAGUGGAACAAAGGGGCGUAUGCACAAGCACAAAAAGAGUAUCAUUCGUAUUUUGUUGGAUUGGCAUCAAACUUGUGAUAUCAAAAAGAGUGUUAUCAUGAUGUAGGGAAUAAUUAGAAGUCAGCAAUGUGAAAGGGGGAGGUGAGAUGCUACCUGUAGACGGAGCCAACGCCAGCUGUGGCCUUGUGAGUGUGUGUGUGAUGGUCGAGCUCGAACUCAGGACCCCGUCCUUGACCUCCUCGGACGCCGUGGGGAAGGGCGGCCGGCGGCAGAGGUGAAACGAUGGCGAAACACCUCGGCCACGGCCUAGUCAGUGGCUGUGUUCACCGGAGCGCGGCGCCUGGUAUUGGCCGCGCCGGCGAGGACCACGCGUGUAGGUACUGUACAGGCACUCAUGUAUAGAGGCGGACCCGACGUCGGCCGCGUCGGCGCUGGCGAGCAGGCGACACCUCGAACCAGUUCGCACGCGCUUCCACAAGCUCGAGCUCCAUCGUGCGCGAGACUCCCCCAGCCGCCACCGCGCGCGUUGUGCCACCCCGCCGUUGCUCACCUCGGAGAGGCGCGUCGGUUGUUGGAUGGGGCACGUCGCCGGGAGCGGUGCGGGCCACAUCGCCGGGGGCGGCGCCUCCACGCGCUGGAGCCCGCUACCGCGCCGCCGCCCACCACAAGGAGGCGCGUCGCCCUUGUGUGGUGCGGGCCGCAUCCCCGGGGCUGGUGUGGAGGCGCGUCGCCGGGCUGGUGCCGGGCUGCGAUGCCGCCGUGCACCGGAGCUCCAUUGAAAAGGGGAAUCGGUGGGGUGGUUUGCUAGUGAGUGGUGGUGAGGUGAGGGGAGAAAGGAUAAGGAAGUGCGGCUGGGGAGGCAUGGAUACGUUCGCGAUAGUGCUUUUCCGAACGAGAAAAAUC
RNAcentral lists this ribosomal RNA (1769 nucleotides) under Triticum aestivum (bread wheat). RNAcentral describes it as "partial small subunit ribosomal RNA". Lineage: Eukaryota; Viridiplantae; Streptophyta; Magnoliopsida; Poales; Poaceae. The record is from RNAcentral.